Brassica rapa (field mustard) is the source of this 1139-nucleotide long non-coding RNA. RefSeq lists it as uncharacterized. The record is from RefSeq and is a predicted model, not a curated record. NCBI's taxonomy places the organism in Eukaryota, Viridiplantae, Streptophyta, Magnoliopsida, Brassicales, Brassicaceae.
AUAUUAUAAUGAUUCUAAUAUACCAUGAAAAAGCUUGAAAUGCAUUAAUACAAUUGUAGAAUGUGGUCAGAAAUUUUAAAACAACACUAAAUAUUAUAGGAUUCAGUAUACAAUGUAUUUACCAAAAACUCAAUAUUUUCGGAGGUGUUAACACAUAGAUUUUGACAAAAAUUUUAAAAAAUAUAACAAUAUUGUUUUAAUGCAUAUUAUCAUCCUGCUCUAAGAUAUUAUGAUUUUCAAAGAGGUUUGGAGCCUUUGUUGUCUCUAUUUUUUCUAGAGAAUAUCGAUUUAAUAGUGUUUAUUCCACCGAUUUAGGGAGCAUUUUGAACUUUUACUAAAUUAAUUGAUAAAUAAAAUGAUAAUGGUUCCCAUAUUCCAUGAAAAAGCUUAAAAUACAUUAAUAGAAUUGUAUAAUGUGGUUAGAAAUUUUAAAAUAACACUAAAUAUUAUAGGAUUCAGUAUAUAAAACAUUUACCAAAAACUCAAUAUUUUCGUAGGGGGAUUAACACAUAGAUUUUGAGAAAAUUUCAAAAAAUAUGACAAUAUUGUUUUAAUGCAUAGUUGCAUCCUGGUCUAACAUAUUAUGAUGUUCAAAGAGGUUUGGAGCCUUUGUUGUCUUUAUUUUUUAGAGAAUAGCGAUUUAAUUGUGGUUAUUCCAUCGAUUUAGGGAGAAUUAUGAACUUUUACUAAAUUAAUUGAUAAAAAUAUUAUAAUGAUUCCAAUAUACCAUGACAAAGCUUAAAAUGCAUUAAUACAAUUGUAGAAUGUGGUUUGAAUUUUUAAAACAACACUAAAUAUUAUAGGAUUCAGUAUAUAAAACAUUUACCAAAAACUCAAUAUUUUCGUAGGGAUUAACACAUAAAUUUAAAAAAAUUUUAAAAAAUACAAAAAAAAUUUUAUUGAAUAGUUGCAUCUUGAACUAACGUAAGAUGAUGUUCGAAGAGGUUUGGAGGCUUUGUUGUCUCUGUUAUUGAAGAAAAUAUUGAUUUUGUUGUGGUUAUUCCAUCGAUUUAGGAAGUAUUAUGAAGUUUUACUAAAUUAAUUGAUAAAAAAUAUUAUAAUGAUUCUCAUAUACCAUGAAAAAACAUAAAAUACAUUAAUACAAAUGUAGGAUAUGGUUAGAAAUUUUAAAACAUCAC